This 220-nucleotide unclassified non-coding RNA is filed under the name Hevea brasiliensis (rubber tree). Lineage: Eukaryota; Viridiplantae; Streptophyta; Magnoliopsida; Malpighiales; Euphorbiaceae. The record is from RNAcentral.
AAAUUAAUGAAAUUAAAAGCAUUUAAAUAUAUAUUAAAAUCCUUAACCCCUAAUUUAGGAUUAAGAAAAAUAAGUAUUCAGACAUUAAUAAAUAUAAAAAAAUUAAGAGAUUAACCUCCAUUUCCAUUCCAAUCCAUUCUCCUAUGUCAAGUCACUAUGUGUAAAGUAUCCUAGGCUUGCUUGCUUGCUUGCAAUAAAGAAAUUGAAGCUUGCGCUUAAG